ACGCGAAAACUUUACAAUGCUGGCAACAGCGAUAAGGGAACCUCGAGUGCCAGGUUACAAAUCUGGCUGUCGAGAUGCCUAAAAAGCAUUUCAUAGCAAGGGCCGGGCAAGACCGGUGCCAGCCGCCGCGGUAACACCGGCGGCUCGAGUGGUAACCGUUAUUAUUGGGUCUAAAGGGUCUGUAGCCGGCCGGAUAAGUCUCUUGAGAAAUCUGGCAGCUUAACUGUCAGGCUUUCAGGAGAUACUGUCUGGCUCGAGGCCGGGAGAGGUGAGAGGUACUUCAGGGGUAGGGGUGAAAUCUUGUAAUCCUUGAAGGAUCACCAGAGGCGAAGGCGUCUCACCAGAACGGACCUGACGGCAAGGGACGAAAGCUAGGGGCACGAACCG
Molecule: ribosomal RNA, 387 nt
Filed under: uncultured bacterium
Lineage: Bacteria
Description: bacterial SSU rRNA
Rfam family: Archaeal small subunit ribosomal RNA
Source: RNAcentral